RNAcentral lists this transfer RNA (71 nucleotides) under Aerodramus maximus (black-nest swiftlet). Its description in RNAcentral is "tRNA-Glu". Lineage: Eukaryota; Metazoa; Chordata; Aves; Apodiformes; Apodidae. The record is from RNAcentral.
GUUUCUGUGGUUGAAGUAAUCAACGGCGGCUUUUCAGGCCGCAGGUCUUGGAGAGAAGCCAAGUAGGAACU